Molecule: long non-coding RNA, 4501 nt
Organism: Esox lucius (northern pike)
Lineage: Eukaryota; Metazoa; Chordata; Actinopteri; Esociformes; Esocidae
Source: Ensembl
AGCCGGCACAGCCAGAAGUCUGAUUCCUCUCUAAGUUUCUUCAUAGGGAGUUUUUCCUGUGAAUCAAACCAUGUUUUUGCUUGCGGUUUAGGGUUUCUUGGGUGUCUAUAUAAGCACUUUGACACAAUUGCUGUUGUAAAAAGGGCUUUAGGAAAUAAACUGGAUUGAUUGCUGCCAAAGGCACUUCUCAAGUACUGAACAAAGGGACUGAAUAUGUACAUAAGAUAUCUGAUUUUUAUUUUUAAUAAAAUGGAAAAAUGGUACAAAGGUUUUUAGCAUUUUAUGUGGGUGUGUAGAUUGACAGAAACAGAAAGACAGAAAGUGAAGGGGUCUGAAUAAUUUCUGAAGGCACCGCGAGUGAAAGAAACGUAAGCCGAAUUCCUGCCCCUCACUCAGGAUCUGACAUCAUGAGUUGCUAUCAGCCUCAGUGUGAUGAAGCUCUCUGGCACCCCGUUUGUGAUCAGUUGAUCACGGAUCUGGAAAUUGAACAAGCAGACACAACAGAUAUAUGAUUAUCAGGAGGAUCUGAGGGGAAUCCCGCAGUUGGUUGAAUGUGAAACCAUCUGACAUGGUGGAGUGAUACUGACUUGUGGUAAGACUUCUGUUGUGAUGUUUGCAUCUGUGAGCAAACCUGUAAGCAGUGGCUGAUAGGAAAGUUUUAUGCUCACUACAAGUAUGUGUCCUGUAGAAACAGUCAAAAUGGUUAACAAACACAUAUGCACACAUUAUUUUUGGAGUUUGAACAACCAGUGAACGCCAUACUUACUAGACCUGCUGCUCAGUGUUGUAAUGGUAGUAGAGGUAACUGGAAGAGUGGUGAUUGAGGUGGUUGUGGGAUUGGGGAUUGAGGUGGUUGUGGGAUUGGGGAUUGAGGUGGUUGUGGGAUUGGUGAUUGAGGUGGUUGUGGGAUUGGUAGUUAAGAUGGCUGGGAGAUUGGUGGUUAUGUUUGGAAUGGUAGAUGUAGGAGCUGUAGCACAAAGAAAGACAAACAAAUUGGCUGAUCAAUUAAUGUUUUCGUCAAAGAUGCAGUCUCCAAUUUUCAGUGGAGAGUUGUAAAACUGGAGCUGUCAAGCCAAAUUGGUUCACAGAAAAUGGUGAUAUGUGUUACGUAUGUGUCAAUUUGUGCCAAAUGUUAUUUAAAAAACACUCACUUUCAAAUGAGAAUUUCAUUGAUGACUGAUAUGAUAAAAUGUAUAAUAUUCUACUUAUAGAUUAGGCUAAUAUAAAAAAAACAUAUUACACAUCCAGACAUAAAUGUGUACAAUGUUCAGACAAAAUUUGAAGCAUUGGUCAAACAAUGUUAGCAUGUAUUUUGAACUUUUCAAGUUGAGAACAUUCAAUGGCAUUGCCCAUGAAUAGACUAAGCACAAUAUGCAACUGUAGGCCCAGUCCUCAUGUAAAAUGUCCCUGAUUGUCUUGAAAGGCGUCCCCCAAAUAAAAUGUAUUAUUCUUAUUCUUACUUGAAACGUAGUACUACAUACACAAUUAGAGACACCUAAUGAUAUAUGUCCAGUUACCGACCAAUGUAAUGCUAAAUGUAUAAUAACAGACAAAGAUGUCUAUUUAUUAGUACUGAAAAAAAAAAAUAUAUAUAUAUAUUUAUUAGUACUGACCAUUAAGAUGGUUACAAUCAUGUACAAUGGAUAUACUGUCGCUUAUAUGUGGCUGGCAUUGAUAUGACAUGACCACUGUCAAGGGGAGUCUGGUUAUUUGGGACAACAAGAGCUUCAGAUACCACAGACAUCAAUCCUGAAUCAGACAUUGUCUGGACGUCUAUCUAGACACCUGUGGUAACAGCGGUUGGACCAGGAACGUAAUGACGGAUGUGGAAUGAUUAGAUUAGUUCAUAUACUUGUCUGUGACAUUGAUUGUCUCUCUGUCGGUUGUCGAUGUAUUUUAACUGAAUCACUUGAAAAAGUGCAACUUAACCCUGUAACGCCAAGUGUAUCAAAACCUCUACGUCGUCAACAUGAUCAACACUUUCACUAAGAACCUGUUGUAUGCAAUCUGAUACAUGUCUUCUUCCCCCUGGUGGAUAGUCUGUGCACUGCAGGCAAAAGCGGGCUUUUUGAAUGACCGAUCAAAAAUGUCUGCUUUCAUAUAGCGACACACCCGUUUUUGAUAGGGAACUCUUUGCUAAUUUUGAAAAAGUUACAGUAAGAAUAACAUUUUUAUUGUUAGUAAUAUUUCUAUAUGAAUAUUUACUGUGUUGAAGCAACUUAUUAUUACUUAAUAUUUUGUACCUUAUUUUAUAGUAAAAUUGUGUUGAUAAUGUGUGUAUCAAAUAUGAUACAGCAGGUAUGUAAGGUAUUAAAUCCCUCAGUCGUCAUUGCAUUGAAUUUCAUGACGCAAUCUGCUUUAUGCCAAAUACACAAUUUAGAUUUUUUUAUAAAACUUAUGAAACAUUGGAUAUAUUUAAGAUAUACAGUGGGAGAACAAGUAUUUGAUACACUGCCGAUUUUGCAGGUUUUCCUACUUGCAAAGCAUGUAGAGGUCUGUAAUUUUUAUCAUAGGUACUCUUCAACUGUGAGAGACGGAAUCUAAAACAAAAAUCCAGAAAAUCACAUUGUAUGAUUUUUCAAUAAAAAAUUUUAGAUUCCGUCACUCACAGUUGAACAGUGUCUACGAUAAAAAUUACAGACUUCUACAUGCUUUGUAAGUGGGAAAACCUGCAAAAUCAGCAGUUCUCCCCAUUAUAUUUACAGUGGAAAUUGAGAUGUGUUUUUCUUUAUAUAUGCAACCCACAGUCAUGAUGAAGUCUUUUAUCAUCGAUUUUCACAAAAAUAACUUCUUGGCUGUCAUAAUAUGUAUGUUAUAUUGACAAAUUCAGAGAAGAAAUUCAGAGUACGAAAUGAAAUUCUGAGUAUGCAAUGUAUUUUUAGAUGGCCAAAGUAGUGUUCAAAAUGUCAUCAGCAUGACAUAGAUAGACGUUUUGACCAGACUAGUGAAUAAGUAGAGGUGUGACAGAACACUAUCCUCUCUAUAACCCCCCGCCACAGCAAAAUAAAAAGGUUUUAUUUUCUUCAGUUUUUAAAAUCAAGUUCCAAACCAACUGAAAUGGUCCAAAUGCAAUAAACAAUGUCUAUUUAGUUUUCUAAAAUAAAAAUUUUAGUGAUCAAUAAAUUACCAUGAAUGCCUGAUUAAUCAAAUAUUUUUUCUGCAUAUAUGUAAAUUAUAUUUAAAAAAUAUCACCAUGGAGUUCCACAAAAACUGUUUCAUUCCACUACAGGAACUGUAAUAACAACCUCAUCCAGAAUAGGGUAACAUUGCUCCAUGAGGCCUUUAAGUGCAGGUAAGGUCCAGUGACAGAAGAUUGUCUUCCGUUACUGGACCUUACCUGCACUUAAAGAUUGUUUUGUAGAAUUCACAGUGGAAUAAAGCAAUAAUAAAUGAAAUGUGAGAAAGUCUGUACACUGGGAGGAAAAUACAUAUGUUGUUGGCACAGGUGCCUAUGCACAUUACCAGGCAAUCACUGGUUGAUCUGACAAUUACUGAUACAAAAGAAUACUUUAAGGGCUACUGUAAAAUGUCCCUCAGUGAGACUACCAGAACACUAGAAAUGGGAUCAAUCUUCUCAGGGCAACAUGCAGUAGUAAAACUCACCACUUUCGUUUCCAACACGGAUGAUGACACAGCGCAGCUCAGAUUGGUACAGGGAACUGGGAAGAUCGACAGAAGUGGAAUUUUUUGCAUACAUUGACACAAUGUUUCUGAGACAAAAGCCACCAAAUCAUUUUUAUUGACACAUUUUUUGAGCAACAAACUAGUAAAUUACAUUCUGAAAGUACGGAGUGUAGGGAAAAAAAUCUCCACAGUUUUUCGUUAUGACUUUCAAAGUUGCCCACACUUUAGUUAGUUUAGUGUCAUAAAAAUGAACGUCAAGACAAAAUGUUUCAGACUCUGUUUAGCCGUGUUAUGUUUUUCAUUCUUGUUGUUGCAUAACAGUGUACAUUUAAAAGAUUUUCCAUAGAUUCAAGUCAAACUGUCAUUAGUCUGACCUGCCAUUCAGUCCCUGAGCGAUGAAGCACACAGGAUAAGCCCCUCCAUCCUCUGUAGUAGGCGUCCAUCUUAGAAGGUACAGUCCUGGGCUGGUGGUGUUCUUUGUGAUGUUCUGAGGUCCACUCACCAACAGCUCUGUAGCCCUUAACACAGGAAGGGAAAAAAAGAAAAUGAACAAUAACCUUUUGGCAUGAUGAGACUCUCAUUCAAAGCGAAUGUCUCUGACUUCCAGAUCCAAACGCAAUGGUCCCACCAAGUGGUACCUAAUAAAACAGUCCAUAUCUAGUGAAUUCUGUCAUCACAAUCUGUACUUGAAACCUAGAGGGAAGCUAAAGCUUUUUUUAUAAACGGAUGGCUAAGUGAGUGAAUGUGGUAGCCAAAUAUCAUUUGGACCUUGUGUGCAAACUGACAAAUAUCCAGGUUCCCUUUUUCAGAGAUUGAGUCAUGGCACUGGUGACUGACCCAACCCUUAGACUAGUGUUUCCUGGUUUCUAUCCUCUUA